AUGGAGCCCAAUUCAUUGUGGACAAUGACCGCUGGGUCUGCUACUUGGAGUGCUGGACACGUUCGCCACCGCUCGGGCUGCUCUGGGGGACCGACAACAGCGGAGUCUGGGCAGAGACGCUCCCUCCUCGCCUCUCGCUGGAGCUGUGAGAAAAUGUGUGUUGGGGGACGGGGCGUGGGGACAUGGCCGCAAAGUUUAGGAAAGUGUCUCCCCUCCCCCCCAUCGCUUCCCCCUUCCCCACCCCCCAUGGCUCCGCUCAUCCGAGCAAAAGUAACAGACAGCCCUUGGAGCCGAAUGGCUCUGGCCGGCCCGGACCUUAGAACCUGCCGCGGGUUCUCCUGCCCCGCCGGAGAUGGGCUUUUCCCAGAGUGUUGUCUUUGGAAACCUUUUCAAAGAAAUUGCAAUUUGGGAGGAGGAGGGGGCUCCCUCCCCUCCCCCUCUCUGGCAUUUAUUAGCAUUUUGAAUCAACAAGCGUGGAAGGACAAGCAGAGCCGGGAGCUCCCAGCCGUUCCCAGGGGCCGGCUGAGACCCGCUGAUCCCCAGGAGGAGCAGCAGAAGUCGAAGCCUUUUGCAGAAGAGGAAGAAAACCAAACCACGGCCACCUCCGAUGGCUGCAGUUCUGCACCAGUCCCAGCCAGGGAAGAGGGAUGGAAAGAAGCAUGCCUAGUUCAGGGGAGAAAUAAAGAACAUUGGAACACGCAGGCUUUGAACUUAGCAUAG
This 720-nucleotide long non-coding RNA is filed under the name Chrysemys picta bellii (western painted turtle). RNAcentral's name for it is "lncRNA (ENSCPBG00000012473.1)". Lineage: Eukaryota; Metazoa; Chordata; Testudines; Emydidae. The record is from RNAcentral.